UCUCAGUUCGGAUUAUAGUCUGCAACUCGACUACAUGAAGCUGGAAUCGCUAGUAAUCGCGAAUCAGAAUGUCGCGGUGAAUACGUUCCCGGGUCUUGUACACACCGCCCGUCACACCAUGGGAGUCAGUAACGCCCGAAGUCAGUGACCCAACCGAUCUGGAGGGAGCUGCCGAAGGUGGGACCGAUAACUGGGGUGAAGUCGUAACAAGGUAUC
RNAcentral lists this ribosomal RNA (216 nucleotides) under uncultured bacterium. Its description in RNAcentral is "partial 16S ribosomal RNA". It matches the Rfam family "Bacterial small subunit ribosomal RNA", at positions 1286 to 1500 of the family's 1533-position model. The record is from RNAcentral.